UAUGGAGACUACAUAUCCUUGCCUGUCUAGU
This 31-nucleotide non-coding RNA is filed under the name Homo sapiens (human). The record is from RNAcentral. Lineage: Eukaryota; Metazoa; Chordata; Mammalia; Primates; Hominidae.